AGAAUCAACGCUGGCGGCGUGCCUAACACAUGCAAGUCGCACGAGAAAGGGACUUCGGUCCUAAGUACAGUGGCGCACGGGUGAGUAACACGUGAAUCAUCUACCUCCGAGUGGGGAAUAACUGAGAGAAAUCUUAGCUAAUACCGCAUAACACUUACGAGUCAAAGCAGCAAUGCGCUUGGAGAGGAGUUCGCGGCAGAUUAGUUAGUUGGCGGGGUAAUGGCCCACCAAGACGAUGAUCUGUAUCCGGCCUGAGAGGGCGCGACGGAACGACGACUGGAACGUGAAACACGGUCCAGACUCCUACGGGAGGCAGCAGUGGGGAAUUUUGCGCAAUGGGGGAAACCCUGACGCAGCAACGCCGCGUGGAGGAUGAAAUCCCUUGGGAUGUAAACUCCUUUCGAUAGGGAAGAUAAUGACGGUACCUAUAGAAGAAGCCCCGGCUAACUUCGUGCCAGCAGCCGC
RNAcentral lists this ribosomal RNA (465 nucleotides) under uncultured bacterium. RNAcentral's name for it is "SSU rRNA". It matches the Rfam family "Bacterial small subunit ribosomal RNA", at positions 26 to 518 of the family's 1533-position model. The record is from RNAcentral.